UGGGAAGCAGUUUUGGUGCCAAACCUCAUG
This 30-nucleotide non-coding RNA is filed under the name Rattus norvegicus (Norway rat). The record is from RNAcentral. Lineage: Eukaryota; Metazoa; Chordata; Mammalia; Rodentia; Muridae.